AGAGUGGUGAAGAGGUUUGAGAAUGAUUGUGAUGAUCUGUGGAAAAGUGAGUGAAGAGCUUGAAGAAUGAUGAAGAUGGUGUUAUAUAGAGGUGUCUAAGCAUAUACGCAUGGCUGCUGGUACAUAGUAUGGGGCUGGACUGGUGUAGUUGGUUUAAUAGCCUUCAAGACAUGAAUUUGCUUGAUCAUGAGGCUAAGUGGUAACACAAUGGAGGUGAAGUGGAAGCAUGAAGAGACUUGGAUAUAUACUGACUUUGAGUAGAACCUAUAAGUUUUUUUUUGUAAACUCUUUUGUAAUGUGACUAUUGGAUAUGUAAUGGAUUCUUGGAUCUUUGUAAUUGAAUUUGUAAUUUGGAACUUG
This is a long non-coding RNA of Vicia villosa (hairy vetch), 360 nucleotides long. RefSeq lists it as uncharacterized. The transcript has 2 exons. The record is from RefSeq and is a predicted model, not a curated record. NCBI's taxonomy places the organism in Eukaryota, Viridiplantae, Streptophyta, Magnoliopsida, Fabales, Fabaceae.